Molecule: transfer RNA, 68 nt
Filed under: Marmota monax (woodchuck)
Lineage: Eukaryota; Metazoa; Chordata; Mammalia; Rodentia; Sciuridae
Description: tRNA.Ala
Source: RNAcentral
GCUGUAGCUCAGUGGCAGAGCACUUGCCUAGCAUGUGUGAGGCACUGGGUUUGAUCCUCAGCACGGCA